This 805-nucleotide small RNA is filed under the name uncultured Actinomycetales bacterium. Its description in RNAcentral is "bacterial SSU rRNA". The stretch from base 1 to 491 matches the Rfam family "Bacterial small subunit ribosomal RNA", at positions 1045 to 1533 of the family's 1533-position model. The record is from RNAcentral. Lineage: Bacteria; Bacillati; Actinomycetota; Actinomycetes; Actinomycetales.
AUGGCUGUCGUCAGCUCGUGCCGUGAGGUGUUGCCUUAAGUGGCGCAACGAGCGCAACCCCUGUCCUUAGUUGCCAGCGGGUCAUGCCGGGAACUCUAGGGAGACUGCCGGUGCCAAACCGGAGGAAGGUGGGGAUGACGUCAAGUCAGCAUGCCCCUUAUAUCCAGGGCUGCACGCAUGCUACAAUGCGCGAUACAAAGGGCUGCGAUCCCGUAAGGGGGAGCGAAUCCCAAAAAGUCGCGCUCAGUUCGGAUCGAGGUCUGCAACUCGACCUCGUGAAGUCGGAGUCGCUAGUAAUCGCAGAUCAGCAAUGCUGCGGUGAAUACGUUCCCGGGCCUUGUACACACCGCCCGUCACACCACGAAAGUGGGCAACACCCGAAGCCGGUGGCCUAACCCUUGUGGAGGGAGCCGUCGAAGGUGGGGCUCGCGAUUGGGGUGAAGUCGUAACAAGGUAGCCGUACCGGAAGGUGCGGCUGGAUCACCUCCUUUCUAAGGAGCCGUUGGCAACCCCGAUGAACAUGGGCAUCGAUCCGUGUUCUGCAGUUCGGGAGACUCCAGGUCGAUGGCACUGGCCCCCGCCGGCACACACUGCCGGCGGGCACACUGUUCAGCUUUGAGGGUGCGAGCCCUCGAGCACCUUGAGAACUCGAUAGCGGGCGCGAGCAUCUAUUAGUCAAGUUAUGAAGGGCUUACGGUGGAUGCCUUGGCGCCAGGAGCCGAUGAAGGACGCGUCAGGCUGCGAAAAGCUUCGGGGAGCCGCCUAGAGGGCUUUGAUCCGGAGGUGUCCGAAUGGGGAAACCCGG